RNAcentral lists this ribosomal RNA (500 nucleotides) under uncultured bacterium. RNAcentral's name for it is "partial 16S ribosomal RNA". It matches the Rfam family "Bacterial small subunit ribosomal RNA", at positions 30 to 523 of the family's 1533-position model. The record is from RNAcentral.
AUUGAACGCUGGCGGCAGGCCUAACACAUGCAAGUCGAGCGGUAGAGAGAAGCUUGCUUCUCUUGAGAGCGGCGGACGGGUGAGUAAUGCCUAGGAAUCUGUCUGGUAGUGGGGGAUAACGUUCGGAAACGGACGCUAAUACCGCAUACGUCCUACGGGAGAAAGCAGGGGACCUUCGGGCCUUGCGCUAUCAGAUGAGCCUAGGUCGGAUUAGCUAGUUGGUGGGGUAAUGGCUCACCAAGGCGACGAUCCGUAACUGGUCUGAGAGGAUGAUCAGUCACACUGGAACUGAGACACGGACCAGACUCCUACGGGAGGCAGCAGUGGGGAAUAGUGGACAAUGGGCGAAAGCCUGAUCCAGCCAUGCCGCGUGUGUGAAGAGGGUCUUCGGAUUGUAAAGCACUUUAAGUUGGGGGGAAGGGCAGUAAAUUAAUACUUUGCUGUUUUGACGUUACCGACAGAAUAAGCACCGGCUAACUCUGUGCCAGCCGCCGCAGUAA